RNAcentral lists this ribosomal RNA (253 nucleotides) under uncultured bacterium. Its description in RNAcentral is "partial 16S ribosomal RNA". It matches the Rfam family "Bacterial small subunit ribosomal RNA", at positions 524 to 776 of the family's 1533-position model. The record is from RNAcentral.
UACGUAGGUGGCUAGCGUUGUCCGGAUUUACUGGGUGUAAAGGGCGUGCAGCCGGGCUGACAAGUCAGAUGUGAAAUCCCGCGGCUCAACCGCGGAACUGCAUUUGAAACUGUCAGUCUUGAGUACCGGAGAGGUCAUCGGAAUUCCUUGUGUAGCGGUGAAAUGCGUAGAUAUAAGGAAGAACACCAGUGGCGAAGGCGGAUGACUGGACGGCAACUGACGGUGAGGCGCGAAAGCGUGGGGAGCAAACAGG